UGGGUUUAGAACGUCGUGAGACAGUUCGGUCCCUAUCUGCCGUGGGCGCUGGAGAACUGAGGGGGGCUGCUCCUAGUACGAGAGGACCGGAGUGGACGCAUCACUGGUGUUCGGGUUGUCAUGCCAAUGGCACUGCCCGGUAGCUAAAUGCGGAAGAGAUAAGUGCUGAAAGCAUCUAAGCACGAAACUUGCCCCGAGAUGAGUUCUCCCUGACCCUUUAAGGGUCCUGAAGGAACGUUGAAGACGACGACGUUGAUAGGCCGGGUGUGUAAGCGCAGCGAUGCAUUGAGCUAACCGGUACUAAUGAACCGUGAGGCUUAACCUUACAACGCCGAAGCUGUU
This 342-nucleotide ribosomal RNA is filed under the name Escherichia coli. RNAcentral describes it as "partial 23S ribosomal RNA". It matches the Rfam family "Bacterial large subunit ribosomal RNA", at positions 2606 to 2925 of the family's 2925-position model. The record is from RNAcentral. Lineage: Bacteria; Pseudomonadati; Pseudomonadota; Gammaproteobacteria; Enterobacterales; Enterobacteriaceae.